RNAcentral lists this ribosomal RNA (276 nucleotides) under uncultured Lactobacillus sp. RNAcentral describes it as "partial 16S ribosomal RNA". It matches the Rfam family "Bacterial small subunit ribosomal RNA", at positions 68 to 339 of the family's 1533-position model. The record is from RNAcentral. Lineage: Bacteria; Bacillati; Bacillota; Bacilli; Lactobacillales; Lactobacillaceae.
UACUGAUUGAGAUUUUAACACGAAGUGAGUGGCGAACGGGUGAGUAACACGUGGGUAACCUGCCCAGAAUAGGGGAUAACACUUGGAAACAGGUGCUAAUACCGUAUAACACAAAAUCCGCAUGGAUCUGUUUGAAAGGUGGCUUCGGCUAUCACUUCUGGAUGAUCCUGCGGCGUAUUAGUUAGUUGGUGAGGUAAAGGCCCACCAAGACGAUGAUACGUAGCCGACCUGAGAGGGUAAUCGGCCACAUUGAGACUGAGACACGGCCCAAACUCC